AUACGUAGGUGGCGAGCGUUGUCCGGAUUUACUGGGCGUAAAGGGAGCGUAGGCGGAUUUUUAAGUGAGAUGUGAAAUCCCCGGGCUUAACUCGGGAGUUGCAUUUGAAACUGCUGAACUUGAGUGCAGGAGAGGAAAGCGGAAUUCCUAGUGUAGCGGUGAAAUGCGUAGAUAUUAGGAGGAACACCAGUGGCGAAGGCGGCUUUCUGGACUGUAACUGACGCUGAGGCACGAAAGCGUGGGGAGC
This 247-nucleotide ribosomal RNA is filed under the name uncultured bacterium. RNAcentral's name for it is "partial 16S ribosomal RNA". It matches the Rfam family "Bacterial small subunit ribosomal RNA", at positions 523 to 769 of the family's 1533-position model. The record is from RNAcentral.